This 247-nucleotide long non-coding RNA is filed under the name Olea europaea (common olive). RNAcentral's name for it is "long non-coding RNA (OEUR_LNC009914)". Lineage: Eukaryota; Viridiplantae; Streptophyta; Magnoliopsida; Lamiales; Oleaceae. The record is from RNAcentral.
GAAGAUAGAGAAAGUCUGAGAAUUGAUUAGCAAGGUCAUACGAAUUAGAUGAUCAUGACGAACACCUCUCAUUCUCCAGGGAAAUCAAGGAGGAACUAGUUCCACACAAUUUGUUCAUCCAGUUAUGGACAAGUAUAGUGGUAAGACAGAACCUAUAUACCGCUUAGGUGAGUACAUGACCCAAAUGCAACCGAAAAAAUCAAGCCAUGUGCUUAAGUACCAAGGUUUUUAGACUUGCCAAAUUGUG